UGGAAGUCAUGCUACACGCGAGAUGGCCAGC
Molecule: non-coding RNA, 31 nt
Filed under: Rattus norvegicus (Norway rat)
Lineage: Eukaryota; Metazoa; Chordata; Mammalia; Rodentia; Muridae
Source: RNAcentral